UACGGAGGAUCCAAGCGUUAUCCGGAUUUAUUGGGCUUAAAGGGUGCGUAGGCGGCUUAUUAAGUCAGGGGUGAAAGACGGUGGCUCAACCAUCGCAGUGCCCUUGAUACUGAUGAGCUUGAAUACACUUGAGGUAGGCGGAAUGUGACAAGUAGCGGUGAAAUGCAUAGAUAUGUCACAGAACACCAAUUGCGAAGGCAGCUUACUAAGGUGCAAUUGACGCUGAGGCACGAAAGCGUGGGGAGCAAACAGG
Molecule: ribosomal RNA, 253 nt
Filed under: uncultured bacterium
Lineage: Bacteria
Description: partial 16S ribosomal RNA
Rfam family: Bacterial small subunit ribosomal RNA
Source: RNAcentral